This 497-nucleotide ribosomal RNA is filed under the name uncultured bacterium. RNAcentral's name for it is "partial 16S ribosomal RNA". It matches the Rfam family "Bacterial small subunit ribosomal RNA", at positions 28 to 507 of the family's 1533-position model. The record is from RNAcentral.
GACGAACGCUGGCGGCGUGCCUAAUACAUGCAAGUUGAGCGCUGAAGGUUGGUACUUGUACCAACUGGAUGAGCAGCGAACGGGUGAGUAACGCGUGGGGAAUCUGCCUUUGAGCGGGGGACAACAUUUGGAAACGAAUGCUAAUACCGCAUAAAAACUUUAAACCCAAGUUUUAAGUUUGAAAGAUGCAAUUGCAUCACUCAAAGAUGAUCCCGCGUUGUAUUAGCUAGUUGGUGAGGUAAAGGCUCACCAAGGCGAUGAUACAUAGCCGACCUGAGAGGGUGAUCGGCCACAUUGGGACUGAGACACGGCCCAAACUCCUACGGGAGGCAGCAGUAGGGAAUCUUCGGCAAUGGACGAAAGUCUGACCGAGCAACGCCGCGUGAGUGAAGAAGGUUUUCGGAUCGUAAAACUCUGUUGGUAGAGAAGAACGUUGGUGAGAGUGGAAAGCUCAUCAAGUGACGGUAACUACCCAGAAAGGGACGGCUAACUACGUG